Molecule: ribosomal RNA, 254 nt
Filed under: uncultured bacterium
Lineage: Bacteria
Description: partial 16S ribosomal RNA
Rfam family: Bacterial small subunit ribosomal RNA
Source: RNAcentral
UACGGGGGGAGCAAGCGUUGUUCGGAUUUACUGGGCGUAAAGGGCGCGUAGGCGGUCGUGACAAGUCACUUGUGAAAUCUCCGGGCUUAACUCGGAACGGUCAAGUGAUACUGUCGGACUAGAGUACAGAAGGGGCAACUGGAAUUCUCGGUGUAGCGGUGAAAUGCGUAGAUAUCGAGAGGAACACCGAUGGCGAAGGCAGGUCUCUGGGCCGAUACUGACGCUGAGGAGCGAAAGCGUGGGGAGCGAACAGG